GCUCAGAGUAUAAGCCAAUGGAGCUUGGAAGGCUUCCGCAGAUGGUGUCCAUCAUACGUGGUGUUCUUAAGACCUUGAGUGUGGCUCGUCAGGCGAAGCAUUUUAGUAUGCCGACCAGCUGUCGUGCGGGGGUUCGGCUUGGAGGUCUUAGGCUUCGGCCGAACGGCUUCCCGGCUGUCCCCUUUGGAAUGGACGUUCAGAGCUCUUGUGUCUAAUGCGGUUAUGCCCACCACAGCACGUUGUGAGGUCACCCACAGGCUCAAACUGCCGAUCGCGCAUCCAGGACGAUGGCAACGAUGCGUUGUCGAUGAUGGCUCGAGAGAGACUUCACUCACACGCGUGUCUAGUCCUGGGUCGGGCGGCGACCGAGAUAAACCUGGUAUGAUCCUCUUGCGACGAGCUGCUUUCUGGCCAGACCGACGCCCAGGCGCUUCCACUGUGCCGGAAGCGUCAAUCCCAGGCGGUGUGAACCCAGCUGCAUUAUGCAAGGUCUCUCAGCCGGGCGUUGGUCUGAGUGGUGUUAAGUCCAGCACCAUCGGUCACGUCUCGAAACACGGGCCAAGGAGUAUAGCAUGUGUGCAAGUCUAAGGGUCUCACAAAACCCGAAGGCGAAGUGAAAGCAAGACUGUGGCGGGGGAGCUACGGCAAACCCGCCGGCCUAGGUGACGCUUGCGUCGCCUGGCUUUUAGCAGAGCUGAUCCUGUUUUCUCGGUUAAUUCUUGGUGCAGGCGCAAGCUCCGGGCUCACGUACAACACUGGUCACGCCUCGCG
RNAcentral lists this ribosomal RNA (771 nucleotides) under Niphargus cf. stygius NC113. RNAcentral's name for it is "partial 28S ribosomal RNA". RNAcentral also lists the same sequence under 2 other names. Lineage: Eukaryota; Metazoa; Arthropoda; Malacostraca; Amphipoda; Niphargidae. The record is from RNAcentral.